Helicoverpa zea (corn earworm) is the source of this 1067-nucleotide long non-coding RNA. RefSeq lists it as uncharacterized. Lineage: Eukaryota; Metazoa; Arthropoda; Insecta; Lepidoptera; Noctuidae. The transcript has 4 exons. The record is from RefSeq and is a predicted model, not a curated record.
CCGGCCGGCACAGUCUGUGCCCGCCUCCCAUUACGCGCGUUCGUUCCAAUAGAACGCAGCCAUAGCCUAGCGAACUUUUUCGUAAAUACAUUUUCCCGCCAAGCUUUUAAUGGUGUUCUGUUUUUAAAAUUCCGGUGUGUUCGUGAUUGUUGUGUGCCAGAAUUAUUUUUUGUGUGAAUUAUCUGUGGAUGCGUGAUGUGUUGUGCGGUUAUUGGGAAUUUAUUGGAAUAGCAGGGCCUCCUUUUGGAUUUCGCGGAAUGGAUUACCGUGUGACCUUUUGGAAAUUUUACAUAUGAGCAAGCGAACGCGCCCGUGACUUCCGUUUCCGGCGGCGCGCCUGCGCAGCAUCCGCGACCAGUAGACCGUCGCGCCUGCCAAUACUGUCAUGCAUCGGUAGCGUGGUGAGCGGCGUCGGCGACGCGUGCCCGGAAGCGUCACGGCCGCGUGAAGACCGGAAAUGGGCAGGAUGACCGGAUCCUAUCUCCGCUCUCCUGCCUACCUGCCCACCAUGUUGUGACGUCACCUCGCCCCAGCGCACGCUUCGCACAAUACCAUACAUUCUGCUCAGAUUUUGGACUUGUUCUGUCAAACCAGAAACGGUUUUCCCGGUCGAAUUUCGAAUUCAGAAUUUGAAUGUUCAUUCGGUUUAUGAAAAUCAGAUAUGUAAAUGUAACAAGGAAACAUACACUGUCAUAACAAGCUGGAGGCAAACAAUCGCCACUCGAGUUGGCGGAUCUCGCUAAAACGUGCACACUGCCAAACCUGAGUUUGCCGAAGCAGAACAUCCACCGGUUAUCAUUGCGGGAGUAUAUAAUUGUUGGCAAUUUCGCGUCUCCAUUCAAGCCGUGAAUAGCAACCAUUAGGCAGAACCCUCCAUGCGCCCUCCUCAGCUAAUAAGUGCAUUUUCCUUUACAGGACUCCUUAGUGCCAUAGUUAAAGCCUCUACUUUUAAAAAAUGGCCGUCUCCGCCAUUUUACAUUCAACUGGAUAUUAAAAUGAUUGUUAAUUGUAGUUAUUAAGCAAUUCAUUUAAUUAAUAGUGAGAAUAAAGUGCUUCGUAAUUAGCAA